RNAcentral lists this unclassified non-coding RNA (319 nucleotides) under Hevea brasiliensis (rubber tree). Lineage: Eukaryota; Viridiplantae; Streptophyta; Magnoliopsida; Malpighiales; Euphorbiaceae. The record is from RNAcentral.
AUUAAGGAGAUUAAGGAGGGUUGAACAAACAUUUGCUAUAUAUCGUGCCUAAAGAUAGUUUAGGUUUAUCUCAAUAUAGAAUAGCUUCAGAGGAUCUUUCACUUCGAGUGUCAAUAUUAAAUAAUGCAUAAGGUGGAUUUUGGUUUAGAAUUAUUGGAUAUUCUACAAUUACCCUGUCUUGUGAUGCUUAAUUUUUCAAGUAAUAGACAACAAUUUUACAGAAAUCUAGUAGAUUUUUAACUCCCGUUAAAAUUGGAAGAUUCUAGGUGUGAUACUAAUAAGGUCUUAGCUGGAGUGCAUUGGGAUUUCUCUGUUUGAG